Transfer RNA from Puccinia sorghi, 85 nucleotides. It matches the Rfam family "tRNA". From Rfam's summary of the family: Transfer RNA (tRNA) molecules are approximately 80 nucleotides in length. The record is from Rfam. NCBI's taxonomy places the organism in Eukaryota, Fungi, Basidiomycota, Pucciniomycetes, Pucciniales, Pucciniaceae.
GCUCCCCUGGCGUAAUGGUAACGCGUUGGACUUCUACCGUUCCGGUGUGAUCCAAAGACUGCGGGUUCGAGCCCCGCGGGGAGUG